GAUCAAGCGACUAAGUGCAUACGGUGGAUGCCUUGGCGACUACAGGCGAUGAAGGACGUUGUAGCCUGCGAUAAGCUGCGGUGAGCUGGCAAACAAGCUUUGACCCGCAGAUUUCCGAAUGGGGAAACCCACCCGUAAGGGUAUCUCUGACUGAAUACAUAGGUCAUUGAAGCGAACCGGGCGAACUGAAACAUCUCAGUAGCUCGAGGAAAAGAAAUCAACCGAGAUUCCGAUAGUAGUGGCGAGCGAAAUCGGAGCAGCCUGCAUAAUUUAGCAUUUGGUAUAGCAAAACGACAUGGAAAGGUCGGCCACAGAAGGUGAUAGCCCUGUAUGUAAAAUGCCUUAUGUGGAACUAAGUAUGCGACAAGUAGGGCGGGACACGUGUAAUCCUGUCUGAACAUGGGGGGACCAUCCUCCAAGGCUAAAUACUCGUAGUCGACCGAUAGUGAACAAGUACCGUGAGGGAAAGGUGAAAAGAACCCCGGGAGGGGAGUGAAAUAGAUCCUGAAACCGUAUGCAUACAAAAAGUCGGAGCCCUACGGGGUGACGGCGUACCUUUUGUAUAAUGGGUCAGCGACUUACAUUCAGUGGCAAGCUUAACCGAAUAGGGAAGGCGCAGGGAAACCGAGUCCGAAUAGGGCGUCUAGUCGCUGGGUGUAGACCCGAAACCGGAUGAUCUAUCCAUGGCCAGGAUGAAGGUGCGGUAACACGUACUGGAGGUCCGAACCGACUAGUGUUGCAAAACUAGCGGAUGAGCUGUGGAUAGGGGUGAAAGGCUAAACAAAUCCGGAAAUAGCUGGUUCUCCUCGAAAACUAUUUAGGUAGUGCCUCGCGUAUCACCGCCAGGGGUAGAGCACUGUUUUGGCUAGGGGGUCAUGACGACUUACCAAACCAAUGCAAACUCCGAAUACUGGUGAGUGCAGCGCGGGAGACAGUGCACCGGGUGCUAACGUCCGGACACAAGAGGGAAACAACCCAGACCGCCAGCUAAGGUCCCUAAAUAUGGCUAAGUGGGAAACGAAGUGGGAAGGCAUUGACAGUCAGGAGGUUGGCUUAGAAGCAGCCACCCUUUAAAGAAAGCGUAAUAGCUCACUGAUCGAGUCGUCCUGCGCGGAAGAUGUAACGGGGCUAAGCUAUAUACCGAAGCUGCGGAUGUGCGUAAGCACAUGGUAGAGGAGCGUUCUGUAAGCCUGUGAAGGUGUGCUGAGAGGCAUGCUGGAGGUAUCAGAAGUGCGAAUGCUGACAUGAGUAGCGUUAAAAGAGGUGAAAAGCCUCUUCGCCGAAAGCGCAAGGUUUCCUACGCAACGUUCAUCGGCGUAGGGUGAGUCGGCCCCUAAGGCGAGGCAGAGAUGCGUAGUCGAUGGGAAACAGGUCAAUAUUCCUGUACCGAUGUCUAGUGCGAUGUGGGGACGGAGAAGGUUAAAUCAGCCGGGUGUUGGAUGUCCCGGUUCAAGUGUGUAGGCGUGCCCCUUAGGCAAAUCCGGGGGGCUUAGCUGAGGCAUGAUAACGAGGCAGCUUGCUGCUGAAGUGAUUGAUACCCUGCUUCCAAGAAAAGCCACUAAGCUUCAGCUAGACGCGACCGUACCGCAAACCGACACUGGUGCGCGAGAUGAGUAUUCUAAGGCGCUUGAGAGAACUCGGGAGAAGGAACUCGGCAAAUUUGUACCGUAACUUCGGGAUAAGGUACGCCUCUGGUAUGUGACGCUGUACAGGCUGAGCAGAAAGGGGCCGCAGUGAAAAGGUGGCUGCGACUGUUUAUUAAAAACACAGCACUCUGCAAACACGAAAGUGGACGUAUAGGGUGUGACGCCUGCCCGGUGCCGGAAGGUUAAGUGAUGGGGUGCAAGCUCUUGAUCGAA
RNAcentral lists this ribosomal RNA (1859 nucleotides) under Campylobacterales bacterium. RNAcentral describes it as "partial 23S ribosomal RNA". It matches the Rfam family "Bacterial large subunit ribosomal RNA", at positions 1 to 1916 of the family's 2925-position model. Lineage: Bacteria; Pseudomonadati; Campylobacterota; Epsilonproteobacteria; Campylobacterales. The record is from RNAcentral.